Molecule: long non-coding RNA, 2639 nt
Filed under: Cicer arietinum (chickpea)
Lineage: Eukaryota; Viridiplantae; Streptophyta; Magnoliopsida; Fabales; Fabaceae
Description: long non-coding RNA (CARI_LNC001280)
Source: RNAcentral
AGUCUCCUCCACCUCCCUCACAUUCCCCUCCUCCACCAUACUAUUACAAGUCUCCUCCACCACCCUCUCCCUCACCCCCACCUCCAUAUUACUACAAAUCUCCUCCACCACCCUCUCCCUCACCCCCACCUCCAUAUUAUUACAAGUCUCCCCCACCACCCUCACCAUCCCCUCCCCCACCAUACUAUUAUAAGUCUCCUCCACCCCCACAUAUACACAAGGACCCACCAUACUAUUACAAGUCCCCACCACCACCUUCACCAUCUCCUCCACCACCUUACUACUAUAAAUCUCCCCCACCACCCUCACCAUCUCCUCCACCACCAUACUACUACAAAUCUCCCCCACCACCUUCACCAUCUCCUCCACCACCAUACUACUACAAAUCUCCUCCUCCUCCAUCCCCUAUCCCCCGUACACCUUACUACUACAAGUCCCCGCCACCACCUUCACCAUCUCCUCCACCACCAUACUAUUACAAAUCUCCUCCCCCGCCAUCUCCUAUUCCCCAGACACCUUACUACUACAAGUCCCCACCACCACCUAAGUAUCUUCCACCACCAUACUAUUAUAACUCUCCUCCUCCACAUGUUGUGUAUCCUCAACCACACCCUUACCACCACUCAUUGAUUGUGAAGGUAGUGGGUAAAGUCUACAGCUUUAGGUGCUAUGAUUGGGAGUAUCCUGAAAAGUCUCAUGACAAGAAACACCUCAAAGGUACAUCACUUACUAAGGAUUGAACUUCUAUACACUAAUGAGUUUAGAGCAUGCAUGAGACUUAAUCGUUUAUCUGUUAAAAUCUUAAUUGCUUUAAAAUUAUUCAUUAAUAUUUUGAUAAAAAAUACAACUCUCUGUUUAUUUUGAUAUAUAGAUAGAUAGAUAAUUCAAAUAUAAAAUUCAAAUUAACUUUUAUCCACACGACAAUGGGCCAAUUUGAUUAAGAUUUUCCUAAAAAAUGAUUUUAUAGUAUUUUAUCUUUUUAUAAUAUUUUUAAAAAUAAAACUUCAAAUAAAAAAUUAGUUUAAAUAGUUUAUUUUAAAAUAUCGUUUUAAGUAUUUCAUCUAUUUAAUUAUUUUUGUGGACAAUGAAAUUUCAAAAAAAUGAUUAAAAUAAAAUCUAUUUUAAGAAUCUUUUUGUAAAAAUUAUUUUUGAAAGAUAUCUUUUUUUUUUAAAUUAUUUUUUAUCAUAUUAAAAUCUCUAAUAAUAAAUGUUUAAGUUAUUGAAUGUCAAAAUUAUUUUUUUAGUUGGUAAUAAAUAAAUGUAAAACAAACUUUAAUAUUUUUAAGUAAAUUCUCAUAAAAAUUUAAAUAUAUAAAAUCAAUUACUUUUUAAAAAUUUUAAAUAAUCGAAUUCAAUAUAAAUUGCUUAGAACCGGCUACAACCUGCCAAGAAUAAAGAAAACAAUCAAUAUGUCAAAUUAAUAUGUACAAUCUACCUCGUUGGAAUUUAAUAAUUGCCCCUAAUUUAAUAUUCUACUUGAAAUUGAUUGUUUAACAUGCUGCUUUUAAUAAUAAAGACCUAUAUAGUAUGUGUUUCUAUAUUUUACUCGAUCCUAAAGUAAUUUUGUUAUGGGGCAGGUGCUGUUGUUGAGGUGACAUGCAAAGCAGGAAGCAAAAUCAUCAAGGCUUAUGGUAAAACUAAGAUCAACGGAAAGUAUAGCAUCACAGUUGAGGAUUUUGACUAUGUUAAAUAUGGUGCCACAGUGUGCAAAGCUGUGCUUUAUGCUCCACCUAAAAACUCACCUUUCAACAUACUUACAAAGCUAAACCAAGGAACCCCAUUGAAGUUGAAAUCCAAAGACAAGUAUGAGGUUGUGCUUCAGGCUAAGCCAUUUGCUUAUGCUUCAAAGAAACAUUUUAAAGAAUGUGAGAAGCCCAAGCCUUCACCAACUCCAUACUACUACAAGUCACCUCCUCCUCCGGUGCCAGUUUACAAGUACAACUCACCACCUCCACCGGUCCAUUAUUAUUCUCCUCCGUAUUACUACAAAUCACCACCUCCUCCUGUAAAAACACCGCCACAUCCUUACUAUUACAAGUCUCCACCACCACCAUCACCAUCUCCUCCUCCUCCAUAUUAUUACAAAUCUCCCCCACCUCCUUCACCAUCACCUCCUCCACCUUAUUAUUAUAAAUCUCCUCCUCCACCCAAAGUGAUAUCAAACCCUCCAUACUACUAUAAGUCACCACCUCCACCAUCACCGUCACCUCCUCCACCAUACUACUAUAAGUCCCCACCUCCACCAUCACCAUCUCCACCACCCCCAUACUAUUAUAAGUCACCACCUCCACCAUCACCAUCACCUCCUCCACCAUACUACUAUAAGUCCCCACCUCCACCAUCACCAUCACCUCCUCCACCAUACUACUAUAAGUCCCCACCCCCACCAUCACCAUCCCCACCACCACCUUACUAUUAUAAGUCCCCACCUCCACCCAAAGAGAUUUCACACCCUCCAUACUACUAUAAAUCACCACCCCCACCAUCACCGUCACCUCCUCCACCAUACUACUAUAAGUCCCCACCCCCACCAUCACCAUCCCCACCACCACCUUAUUAUUAUAAGUCUCCACCUCCACCCAAAGAGAUUUCACACCCUCCAUACUAUUAUAAGUCACCACCCCCGCCAUCACCAUCCC